RNAcentral lists this ribosomal RNA (424 nucleotides) under uncultured bacterium. Its description in RNAcentral is "bacterial SSU rRNA". It matches the Rfam family "Bacterial small subunit ribosomal RNA", at positions 359 to 774 of the family's 1533-position model. The record is from RNAcentral.
GAAUAUUGGACAAUGGGGGGAACCCUGAUCCAGCCAUGCCGCGUGUGUGAAGAAGGCCUUUUGGUUGUAAAGCACUUUAAGCGAGGAGGAGGCUACUCUAGUUAAUACCUAGAGAUAGUGGACGUCACUCGCAGAAUACGCACCGGCAAACUCGGUGCCAGCACCCGGGGGAAUACAGAGGGUGCAAGCGUUACUCGGAUUUACUGGGCGUAAAGCGCGCGUAGGUGGCCAAUUAAGUCAAAUGUGAAAGCCCCGAGCUUAACUUGGGAAUUGCAUUCGAUACUGGUUGGCUAGAGUAUGGGAGAGGAUGGUAGAAUUCCAGGUGUAGCGGUGAAAUGCGUAGAGAUCUGGAGGAAUACCGAUGGCGAAGGCAGCCAUCUGGCCUAAUACUGACACUGAGGUGCGAAAGCAUGGGGAGCAAACA